This is an RNA transcript of Alligator mississippiensis (American alligator), 791 nucleotides long. RefSeq lists it as uncharacterized. NCBI's taxonomy places the organism in Eukaryota, Metazoa, Chordata, Crocodylia, Alligatoridae. The record is from RefSeq and is a predicted model, not a curated record. The transcript has 4 exons.
CCUGGUUUCAGUUAGAAGGACGAAAAAAGGCUGCUGCAUUUUCAGCAGGGCUGAAAAACCUAAUUUCCCUCCCCAAGCCCCGCUGGGUAUCUUCUUCUGCCCCCUCGCAGACGUGCUGGGCUGCAUGCAUGUGCGCUGCCUCUGCCCAGUGCUGCCGCUGCUGACAUGUAGAGAGAGAUGCAGAGCCUGGGCUGGUGCAGGGCGCGGAGGGAAGGGACUGAAGCAACACCAGCAAAUGUGAGUCCCCUGUUACAAGGUUUGGCAGCAGCAGCAUAUCUCAGUUCCCAGAUUUGCUUAACUGAAUUUAUCCAGGCAAUCCAGUGAAGAGAUCUGGCAGAUUCCUGCCAAUCUAUAUUUCUUCAGACUAUGAGGUCUCCAGCUGCUUCUAGCCUGUCAGAGCUCUCCGGCUGAUUGAUUCCCCACAGGACAGUCCAUCAAUGGAGGAUACAAAGUGGAAGAAAACUGACUUAAAAAAGAAAGAGUGGAAAGUGGAAGACUUGUCUGUCCAAAAUGAAUGUUCGGGCCUGCUUCUCUAAAUGGCAAGUGUUAGUAUUCGGAGGUGACGACUGCUGUCUUAGUCUUACUUUUUCUUCCCUCUGUAAGAUUUUGCUUCGAUAUUUUAGCAGUGUUGGUGGAUCUUAAACCAGAAUAUUUGGGGCCUUUGUGUAGGUUUAAACCAGAACUUGUGUGAGGGUUUGGCAUCUGGUAGAAGGAUCAGAGUACUCCUUCCCAAAUUGGUUUGUUGUCUUGUAUGUAACUGCACAGGUAAAAUGUUUGUCUCUACAGACAGA